UUUUACCGUUGUGGAGCGUAAAAGCUAAGGCUGUAAAUAUUUGUUUUGGGCAGAUUGAUGGUAUCAAGUGGAAACUCCACAGUGGAAGACGAUCCAUCGUCACCAGGACUGUUGAACUGCCAGUUAGAAGAGCUGCCGUGGCUUUCUGGAAAGCUUCGAGAGCUGUGGAGCUGCCCAUUUGGAUUGGUGAGUUGUCAUUUUUACCCACCUACUGAAAAGCUC
Molecule: long non-coding RNA, 222 nt
Filed under: Ornithorhynchus anatinus (platypus)
Lineage: Eukaryota; Metazoa; Chordata; Mammalia; Monotremata; Ornithorhynchidae
Description: lncRNA (ENSOANG00000048307.1)
Source: RNAcentral